CCUACGGGUGGCAGCCGUGAGGGAUAUUGGUCAAUGGCCGAGAGGCUGAACCAGCCAAGUCGCGGGAGGGAAGAAUGUCCUAUGGAUUGUAAACCUCUUUUGUCAGGGAGCAAAGUCACCCACGUGUGGGUGUUGGAGAGUACCUGAAGAAAAAGCAUCGGCUAACUCCGUCCCAGCAGCCGCGGUAAUACGGAGGAUGCGAGCGUUAUCCGGAUUUAUUGGGUUUAAGGGGUGCGUAGGCGGGUUAUCAAGUCAGCGGUAAAAUCGUGGAGCUCAACUCGAUCCAGCCGUUGAAACUGAUGAUCUUGAGUGGGCGAGAGGGAUGUGGAAUGCGUGGUGUAGCGGUGAAAUGCAUAGAGAUGACGCAGAACUCCGAUUGCGAAGGCAGCAUACCGGAGCAAGACUGACGCUGAAGCACGAAAGCGUGGGUAUCGAACAGGAUUAGAUACCCUUGUAGUC
RNAcentral lists this ribosomal RNA (459 nucleotides) under uncultured bacterium. Its description in RNAcentral is "partial 16S ribosomal RNA". It matches the Rfam family "Bacterial small subunit ribosomal RNA", at positions 338 to 795 of the family's 1533-position model. The record is from RNAcentral.